AGAGUGAACGCUGGCGGUAGGCCUAACACAUGCAAGUCGAACGGCAGCACAGUGGUAGCAAUACCAUGGGUGGCGAGUGGCGGACGGGUGAGGAAUACAUCGGAAUCUACCUUUUCGUGGGGGAUAACGUAGGGAAACUUACGCUAAUACCGCAUACGCCCUUUGGGGGAAAGCCGGGGAUCGCAAGACCUGGCGCGGAUAGAUGAGCCGAUGUCGGAUUAGCUAGUUGGUGAGGUAAUGGCUCACCAAGGCGACGAUCCGUAGCUGGUCUGAGAGGAUGAUCAGCCCACACUGGAACUGAGACACGGUCCAGACUCCUAACGGGAGCA
RNAcentral lists this ribosomal RNA (329 nucleotides) under uncultured soil bacterium. Its description in RNAcentral is "bacterial SSU rRNA". It matches the Rfam family "Bacterial small subunit ribosomal RNA", at positions 26 to 350 of the family's 1533-position model. The record is from RNAcentral.